UACGUAGGGUGCAAGCGUUGUCCGGAAUUAUUGGGCGUAAAGAGCUCGUAGGCGGUUUGUCGCGUCGACUGUGAAAACCCGAGGCUUAACCUCGGGCCUGCAGUCGAUACGGGCAGACUAGAGUUCGGUAGGGGAGACUGGAAUUCCUGGUGUAGCGGUGAAAUGCGUAGAUAUCUGGAGGAACACCGGUGGCGAAGGCGGCAUCCUGGCCCGGUACUGACGCUCAAGCGCGAAAGCGUGGGGAGCAAACAGG
RNAcentral lists this ribosomal RNA (253 nucleotides) under uncultured bacterium. RNAcentral describes it as "partial 16S ribosomal RNA". It matches the Rfam family "Bacterial small subunit ribosomal RNA", at positions 524 to 776 of the family's 1533-position model. The record is from RNAcentral.